Non-coding RNA from Podarcis lilfordi (Lilford's wall lizard), 70 nucleotides. The record is from the annotation of a GenBank genome assembly. Lineage: Eukaryota; Metazoa; Chordata; Lepidosauria; Squamata; Lacertidae.
GCUGUAGCUCAGACGGUAGAGCAUUUGCUUUGCAUGCAGAAGGUUCCAGGUUCAAUCCCAGGCAUAUCCA